This is a long non-coding RNA of Etheostoma spectabile (orangethroat darter), 188 nucleotides long. RefSeq lists it as uncharacterized. NCBI's taxonomy places the organism in Eukaryota, Metazoa, Chordata, Actinopteri, Perciformes, Percidae. The record is from RefSeq and is a predicted model, not a curated record. The transcript is spliced from 3 exons.
CUGGAAAGGAUUCCAACAGCGGGACGUCCAACAGUCUGCAGCUAAAGACACAGAGGAGACUAGCUGACCUUUGAGACCCCGUGGACACUGCCGCUGUCCAAGUUGUUGGAGAAACACAGACGGGACUUAAUGGUGCAUUCAAUCGCACCUCGUCAACUCAUGGUGCAUUCAAGUGCAGCUGCAGAAAC